GUACUCAAUGUUGAUUAUUUACAUUGUAUUUUGUAUAAAUUACAAAACACGUUGUUGGAAUGAUGUCAAGGCUGUUAAGUAAUGUAAUACUUGUAUAAAUACUGCCAAAUUGCCAUCUCAGAAGACUAUAAUAAAUACAUUUUGUAAUCAAUUUUAUAUGAUAGAACCCAUAGUAUACCAUUCAAAAUUAAUCAUGCACAUAUUUUAAAAACGGUAUCAGUCUCUGAUUUCUGUCACUUGUUGAAUUAGGGUAUGGACUGAAGAAACUGAAGGGGAGGGCAGCCUCUAUAGGAAGAACAACAGUCUCGAAUCAUCCCCACCCCUGAGAUCUCCCAGACACUAAGCCACCAACCAGGGUAUCUUUGAACUUGGGACAUCUUGCCUCAUUCUAGGUGCUGAGACUACAUUCAGGCAAUUUCCAGCUUUCUUUCCUUUAUCUUAGUAAGAUGUGUUAGAUCAAAUAUGUUAAUAUUAUGCAGUAAAUCCUCCAUAUGUUUACUUAUAG
Molecule: non-coding RNA, 505 nt
Organism: Rattus norvegicus (Norway rat)
Lineage: Eukaryota; Metazoa; Chordata; Mammalia; Rodentia; Muridae
Source: RefSeq, a predicted model, not a curated record